RNAcentral lists this long non-coding RNA (798 nucleotides) under Linum usitatissimum (flax). RNAcentral's name for it is "long non-coding RNA (LUSI_LNC005327)". Lineage: Eukaryota; Viridiplantae; Streptophyta; Magnoliopsida; Malpighiales; Linaceae. The record is from RNAcentral.
AAUCCUCUCCCAUUUCAAAAAUUAAAGAAGAAAAAAAGAUGAAUAAUUAAUGAAGAAGAAGAAUAAUAGAUGAAGAAGAUGAAGAUGAUGAUUGAGAAGGAGAUGAAGAAAAUGAAGGAGAAAAAAGAUGAAGAUCUAAACAGUAUAAGAAGAUGAAGAAGAAGACGAAGAUGAUUAUGGAGAAGGAAGAAGAAGAAGAAGAAAAGAAGAAGAUGAUUAGAAAGAAUCAAGAACAACGAACGAAGAGCAACAAACGAAAAAUGUCUGCAUUUUUGUUAUUAGACGAAAAGGCUAACAUUGGAUUAUAUCCUCUAUUAAUUUUAAUAGCGGAUGAAAUAUGCUGUUAGAAUUUCUACAGUUACUUAUUCUAACAGCGAAUUUUGUUCUACCGUUAGGAUUACUACAAGAAUAAGGUCUUCAAAAUGAUGAUGAGGGGAUGGUCCUUAUUCAAAGAUUUGACGUCAUUAAGAUAGGGGUGUCUUUCAAAUAAGGUGUGCACACCCUACGUGUUUAGGGUGUGCAUUUGUGCCAACUUCAAAAGGGGCAAUAAGGGUAGUGGUUGACUAAAGAAGUCAUGUAAUAUGCUCUCGAUUGUCUUCAGAAAUGUAAUUUUUCAUAAGGCUUUCUACGUAUUUAUAAGCGUUGGUCUCUCCUGAAUAUGGCUUGAGCAAGCAACAUGAUGGAAAUACUAAGGCAUAUAGUGUGUGUACUAGUCAUACCUAUGCAUUUCCACUAUCUUAUUCUUUUUAUAGAAAAUAUUCAUGAUUUAGUUUUUAACGAAGGAUUAUUAUCUCAAGA